AUGAACAAUGUGAAAAACACCACCCAGUUUAUUCAUUAGAUAAAAUUAAAAAAAAAGUGCAUAUUUCAACCCCAAAUUUUUGCUCUAGUCUAAUUUACAACUCCAAACUUUAAUACCGUCUAAAUUACAACCCCAAGUCUCAAAACCGAUCAGGAAAUCCUCCCCUCCCUGUUGACCGGCUUUGACCUGAGGUGAUCAGUUUUGACUAGUCAACGGGUCCAAUCAGCAUGCCACGUUAGAUUUUUUUCAAAAUUUCAAGAAAAAGUAAAUAAAAAUCUGUAAGAUCAGGAAAAAAUAUUUAAAAAUCAAAAUUCCAAAAAAAUUGUUUGCGAAAAAAGCUAGGGAAAAUUAAAAAAUAUAUUUUUUCUGGAAAUUAUUUUUUCAGGAAUUUUCUGGAAAUUUAGUCUUUGGGUCUUUUCUGGAAAUUAUUGUUCUUUUGGAAAUUCAUUUUUUUUAUUUUCCCUGUUUUUCGGAAAUUUGAUUUCUUAUUUAUUUUCCUGAAUUUUCUUCAAUUUUACAGAUUUUUUUCCUGGAAAUUUUGCAUUUUUCUGACGUGGCAUGCUGACUGGACCUGUUGACUAGUCAAAACUGGUCAACCAGGUCAAAACCGGCCAACAGAGAGGGGAGGGUUGAAUCCUAGCCGGUUUUGAGAGUUAGGGAUUGUAAUUUAGACAGUCUUGAAGUUUGGGGUUGUAAAUCAGACUAGGGCAAAAGUUUAGGGUUGAAAUAUGCACUUCUCUCUAACAUAAAUACGUCACUGAGAAAGGUGCUAAUUUCAUUCAACAAUUCCAAAUAAUCUUUAACCUAGCUGAUUCAUCUACCUUAUUCGUUACUCUGUUACAUUGUUGAAACCUAAAAAUAGAAAAAUCACAAGCAAGAUGAUAACAAUCCUCCAAAAUCAGCGCCGCUUCGCCAGCUCGCCCGGACGAUCAAUUUCACAGGCUUCUCCAGACCUCUCUUGCUUUGUGGCAGCUAAAUGAGAUCUUAAAACUCUAAUAGUGUGGAUGGUUUUGAGAAAAAGACUGGUUAGCAAAGUCUUGGAUUUUUCAAGAAGCUUUCAGCACUCGAUGCUCCUAAGAGGAUGAAAAAUGUCCUACAACAUGUUUAAGAGAAUGAGGGAUGCACAGACGGAUGGGAAAAUCAUGGUUCUACUAUUCAAAAUAUACUAACACAGCUCUGUGCACAUAUCUCAUUCUGUCAAUGAUGGCCUAAGACAUUGUAUUUAGUUCUUAUCUGCAGCAAUUGGUGAAUUGUCCUAUAAUGAGCAGAAAGAUAGAGGCACCCAAAAAAAGUUAAAAACUGGGGAAAUCAAUGGCUCAGACAUCCAAGGAAGGAAUUAGCAGCAUUAGCUCUCAAGCCUGGCAGGGCGAAAGCUCUUAGGCGGCAUCUGCGAAUGUUUUGAGAAACAAGCCUUUGUUCAAUCAUCAUCGCCAUUAUUUUCCUCAAUUUAGAAUCAACAACACCGAAUACUAUGUCAAGCAAGAAAUGUGAUCACACACAAAACGGCCAUGUGUACAUCUGAAUCACAGCCACAGGUUCUUAUCAAAUGUAAAAAUCUCUAUCAGCACAAUGUAGGCAUCAGGGCCAAGAAAACAGAUAAAAUUAUUUCAAGAGAAAAGAAAGGAUUGCCCUCAGAGACACAUUUCGAAUCACACAUACAGCUGAAACAAGCAGUUGCAAAUGGGAUAUACACCCCACAACAAACCAGAGAGGUAUAGAUAGAGGGAUGUACACUUACAGCAGCAGCAAAGCAGCGGCUGUUAGUGUCAUGCGGCACUUCCUGGUCUAGAGUUCUUCACCGAGACAGAUAAUAACAACAAAAAGGAAAGAAGAACACAAGAUUAAGCAAUGCUCAGUGGAAAGAGAAGUCGUUUUUGGUUUGAAGGCUCACGGUGACUGAUGCCACCACUGCCAAAAACCUAUAUGAAUCAUCAUCGCAUCACUAGAACUAACAUGAUAAUAAAUGGAAACAAGAAAGAAAUUGGCAGAAGAGAAUGAAAGGAACAGGCUUCAGUGUGUGUAACAACAUGAAUCGAUCAAUGGCAGACAAGUCCGCCUCACCGAAAUCCGCUAAGAUCCUUUCGGACCUGAAUCAUCACCAGCCAACCAAUCCAAUUCACUUCACACUAACGAGAUAACCAGUUUUAAACCAUUUAUUUGUGAAUGUGUCCAAAACACCUCAACGAGACGACAAGAAUGCCGCCCUCGGACAAGGGACGAUGCUUCGGUGCCUUAAGGCACCUACCUUUGUGUCUAAGACAUGGGGGCCCAACAGAUGGCUGGCCCACAUGCCGGUGAUCCAAAGGCAGGUGCCUUUAAGGCACCGAAGCUGCGUCCGGAGGAUAUUUGGAUUAUAUCCAUCUCACAAACAAAGAAAUUGCCUCAAAAUAGUAAAAAGCUUUGGCACAGAGUGAGUUUGCUUUUGUUUCACACAGAAAUCUCGAAAAUAUGUGUUUUGCAUAGUCGUUGGAUUGCAUGUGUUAGCUUGAAUCGUCUACAUCUGAUCAAAAUAAUAAAAAGCUUUGGGACAGAGUGAGACUGCUUUUCUUUCACACAAAAAAAUCUCAAAGAUAUUAACAUGUGUUUUGUAUAGUCGUUGGAUUGCGUAUGUGUUAGAUACGAAUCGUAUACAUCUGAUCACUGCAUUAAGGACAAUAAGCGUAGCCAAAUUUACAGUUCAACAGUUGUUUCAACCAAACAGAACAGCCAGUUUUAGUUAUUGUAAAAAUAGCUGCAGUGGUUAGCGGAUCCUAGAUAUCUUUAAUUUGUUAUUUUACUUCCUGAUGCAAGAAAAAAUAGGCAGGCCUUCUACUACCAGAACUGGAAAAAACUUGCAAAUCCACACUUACGUAGAAACCAGAUCCAUUUAGACUCUCAGUGAAUGGCACUGUUUUUCCACAUGUAAAGAACCAUCGAAAGCAGUCUUGCCAAAUCCCCUGCUAUGCUCCCCCGUCUCGCCAAAUCCUUCCGUCUCAUCCUCAGGUCAAAGAAGAAACAAAUCAAUUCUUCAACGAGAGGAAGAGACUUCGCGAGGAAUCACCGAGAGAGGAGAGCACAACAACGCAGAUGGUCUGAGCGAAGCACGCUUCCUCCGGCCUAGGAUUCGGUGUGGUUAAAGCAAAGUAGUCAUCAUCGAGCCACAGAUCGGUUAGCAAAAGAUCGAACUCAAAACCAUGGAUUCGAGAAUUAGAUCGGAAACUAGAAAGAACGCAAAACGCAAGAUGUUUGACCUACGAGAAAAUGCGUGAAUCUAAUGGAAGAAGCCACAUGUCCAUAGGUCCUCGCUAUGAUAUAGCACCUCUUCAAAAAGCUCCAGAUCCGCUCGGUGGCGAUCCGAUCUUGAACACGAGAAGAGUGCGGCGAAAGGGCGCAAAUCUAAAGAAGAGACAAACUAGAAAAGAUGUGAAAUUUGCAAAUAACAGAAACGAAGAUGGCACAAACUUGCUCCUGUGUUCGACCGAUUAGACGAUGGCUCUAGGGGAAGGGAAGGUUGAAUCCGGCGGCGCAGACGCGGGGGUUACAGGAGGGCGUGGCGCUGGGUAUUUAUACACCUCUUCUAGGGCAUAUGCUAAAACGGCCGGAUUUCAGAUAAACCCAUCUAUAACUCUUGGGCCAGGCCAUAGUUUUCGGAUGCGGCCCAGUCCCCCAACCAUGUGUGUUUCUUAGUCCAGCUCGAAAGAAAAAAUAUGUCUGUUAUAAAAAAAAGUCUAAAAAAAGCUCAAAAGAAAAGUGUGUUUCUUAGUUGUACUCUAUUCAGGUUUUUUUACUCUGCGUAUAAACUUUGUCUUAAGUCAAACUUUAUACGGGCUCACUGUGAUUUACCGGUCAUUUUAGUAUUAAUGUGAUUACAUACAAAAAGUGCAUUUCAAUCGGUGCUUAUUGCCUUACCAAAGAAUUGAUGGUUCUAUUUCAAAAUUAAAUAAGGCGUGGCCCAGUUAAAGGUGGUUCUUAGGGAAAACCAACAGCAAAAAAUGAACAAACCCGAAAAUGAAGGAGGAGGGAUGGGCAAGGUGGAUGAAAAAGGGGAUGAUCGGCAUUAGCCUUACGUAUUUUUAAGUAGGAGAGAUACAAGAGACGUGCAUUUUCUACACACACACACACACACAAUACGGAAGACGUGCAUGUGCAUGUGGGUGUCUUUGUUAGAGUCUUUCUAGUGUUAGCAUGAUACAUUUGCUAAUAAAAUCAUUUUGAUUUUUUCUUUUGUCGUGGUGGUGCCACGGAGCAUAAAUUAUUGUGUUCUAGUAGAACCAAUUAUGUGAAUAUAACGUGUCUAUUUUUGUGUUCUGUUUCUUUUAUUAGUUUUGUUUUUUAGUUUGAUGCGGAAUUCCAUAAUAUGGUGAAGAUCUUAUUGUUCGAUAUUCACCACUUCUAGGGGGUAUCCCCAGCUCAAGUCCGUUCAUCACGCACAAUUUCCCUUCUUUUUUAAUGGGUCACUUGCCGAAGCAUUAGAAAACCUUUAUUGGCAAUCAAGAUCGUGGGAUUGAACGAGUGACAAUGUACGUGUUCUAGUCCAAUUGCAAUCUAUUUACGAAUUGACAUCACGACGAAGAUGUUCCAGUAAUUUUCAUUUUAGUUCUUUGUUGUACGAGUUGCCUUGUAAUUUCUUGAAUCUUGGAUACAAAACAUUGUACAUAUAAUUAUCAUCGAGUAUGAAUAAAGUUGCACCGGUUUAAAAAAGUUGCCGCCUUUGGCGGUGAAUAAGAGCCUCACCACCUAAAGAGAUUUAUUUAGCGCGGACCAUUAUGAAAUGAAGUUUUAAAAAACUCAAAAAUCAUACUUAAUUUGUAUUGAUGUUAUAA
RNAcentral lists this long non-coding RNA (4802 nucleotides) under Triticum aestivum (bread wheat). RNAcentral describes it as "long non-coding RNA (TAES_LNC001168)". Lineage: Eukaryota; Viridiplantae; Streptophyta; Magnoliopsida; Poales; Poaceae. The record is from RNAcentral.